GACGUAGGGCGCGAGCGUUGUCCGGAUUUAUUGGGCGUCAAGAGCUCGUAGGCGGUUUGUUGCGUCGGCUGUGAAAUCCCGAGGCUCAACCUCGGGUCUGCAGUCGAUACGAGCAAACUAGAGUGUUGCAGGGGAGACUGGAAUUCCUGGUGUAGCGGUGAAAUGCGCAGAUAUCAGGAGGAACACCGGUGGCGAAGGCGGGUCUCUGGGCAACAACUGACGCUGAGGAGCGAAAGCGUGGGGAGCGAACAGG
This 253-nucleotide ribosomal RNA is filed under the name uncultured bacterium. RNAcentral describes it as "partial 16S ribosomal RNA". It matches the Rfam family "Bacterial small subunit ribosomal RNA", at positions 524 to 776 of the family's 1533-position model. The record is from RNAcentral.